This 18293-nucleotide long non-coding RNA is filed under the name Phaseolus vulgaris (common bean). RNAcentral describes it as "long non-coding RNA (PVUL_LNC002437)". The record is from RNAcentral. Lineage: Eukaryota; Viridiplantae; Streptophyta; Magnoliopsida; Fabales; Fabaceae.
AAAUAUGCCUUCUCAGAAGGUUGAAACGGGUCACCAAGACACUGUCCAUGAUGUUGCCAUGGAUUACUAUGGUAAGAGGCUGGCAACAGCUUCAUCAGAUCACACAAUUAAGAUAAUUGGAGUGAACAACACGGCCUCUCAGCAUCUAGCAACAUUGACUGGUCACCAAGGACCUGUUUGGCAAGUAGUGUGGGCUCACCCAAAGUUUGGUUCUCUGCUUGCAUCGUGUUCCUAUGAUGGCCGAGUCAUUAUAUGGAAGGAGGGUAACCANNNNNNNNNNNNNNNNNNNNNNNNNNNNNNNNNNNNNNNNNNNNNNNNNNNNNNNNNNNNNNNNNNNNNNNNNNNNNNNNNNNNNNNNNNNNNNNNNNNNNNNNNNNNNNNNNNNNNNNNNNNNNNNNNNNNNNNNNNNNNNNNNNNNNNNNNNNNNNNNNNNNNNNNNNNNNNNNNNNNNNNNNNNNNNNNNNNNNNNNNNNNNNNNNNNNNNNNNNNNNNNNNNNNNNNNNNNNNNNNNNNNNNNNNNNNNNNNNNNNNNNNNNNNNNNNNNNNNNNNNNNNNNNNNNNNNNNNNNNNNNNNNNNNNNNNNNNNNNNNNNNNNNNNNNNNNNNNNNNNNNNNNNNNNNNNNNNNNNNNNNNNNNNNNNNNNNNNNNNNCUUGGGCACCCAAUUUAGGGCUACCUAAAUCUACUAUUGCCAGUGCAUCGCAGGAUGGUAAAGUGGUUAUAUGGACCGUAGCAAAAGAGGGUGAUCAGUGGGAAGGCAAGGUUUUGAAUGAUUUCAAGACACCUGUUUGGAGGGUCUCAUGGUCACUGACAGGAAACAUACUGGCAGUGGCUGAUGGGAACAACAAUGUGACAUUGUGGAAAGAAGCAGUAGACGGGGAAUGGCAACAGGUGACAACAGUGGAGCCUUAGAAUGUGAUUUGCUGGCCUUGUUUAGUACUUUGAAAAUGGUUAGAAUUUUGUUUUGAAAUAUAGUUGACAUCUUGUUUCCCUGCAUAUUAUACAGUUGAUUAAUUGUGCUUCAUAGCGUUACUUCCUUGAUGUUUGUGAUCCAUUGCAUAUUCUGUGAUUGGAAGAAUGAAGUUCAUUAGCUCGAGUUAUUUUGAGAUUAGAAGAAAGUUUUUCAAGUAUAUAAUGUGACAAUAGCUUCUGUUUUGGGAGUUGCAUAAACUGUUGUAUUCAAUUUUGGCUGCUCAUGAUUAAUCCUUCACCAUGUGUGCAAAAUAUCCUCCUUGAGAAUUUGGUUUUUAACCAAGCCUGUGUAUGGUACAAGCAACAAAAUUUAUAUCUGUUGCUUGCUCAAGGUUUUAUAUGAUUGUUUAGGCUUAGAUUCUUUGGAUUUCUCUAUGCAGUAGAAGAAAAAUUCCCGUUUCCUAUUUUGUUUUUGUUUAGUUAGAUGGUGCAGCAUUCACCUUAAAAAUUGAUAUGAAAAUUUAAGAAAUAAGCUUUCAAAGCAAAAUUCCAUUUAGAUUCUCUCCUUAAAAUUUUAGGGAAAUACUCUCUCCUAUAAAAACGAGUGACAAAUUUUUAACAAAAAAUUAAGAUGGAUUUCAUUUGUUUCUUCUUUUAAUUGAUACAUUCUUUGUUUAUAAUCACAGAAAUGUGGGUUUCAGUUUAUUUAUUUUUGAAAAUUUAAAAUAAAAAUGAUAUUAUUAUAAAUAUUUAAUUAAAACUACCAAUAAAUAGAACCAAAAUUAUUUAUAGAAUGUAACUUUUCGUGAUAUGAUUGUUGAUUUGUAACUAAAUAUUAUUUUGAUUGUUCUUCAAAUAAAUAAAAAAAACAAUAGUAAAUGGUAAUUAAACUAAUAUUGUUUUAUAUAUAUAUAUAUAUAUAUAUAUAUAUUCUAAUGACUAUAUAUUACGUGAGUUUUGAUGAAUAUACAUGAAGUAUUAAAGUAUCAAAUAAUUUUAGAUGGAUAUAAUUUUUCGCAAUACUUAAGUGAUAUAAACUUUCAUAUUCUAAAAAAUACAUUUUAAAGAAAUUAAUUAAAGAUAUUAUUGGUGUGACUUAAUUGUUUGAUUCCUUCUCACUUUAUAUGCAUCUAAGUAAUUUUUAAAAAAUAAAUUAGUGGCAAUGACUUGAUUGUUUGAUUCCUUCUCACUUUAUAUAUCUAAGUAAUUUUUAAAAAAUUAUUUAGAAACUAAAUUAGUGGCAAUGACUAUUGAAUAAAAAACUAUAGAGUAAAAUCUAGUUUUAAUUCCCGUUAAUAUUUUGAAUUUCAGUUUUAGUUUCUUUAAAAUAAAUUGUAUCUCUAAUUUUAAACUAGACUGAUUAAAAUUUAAAAGCAUUUAAAUAGUGUUAUUUAAACCACUUUAACAUCUAAAAAUAGUGUAUUUUGAAAUUAAAAAACAAAAAAGUAAAAUAAUAUAAUUUAUUGUAUAAUAUAAUCAGAUAACAUUUUUAAUUACUUUGAGUAAAGUUGAGAUCGAGCCAAAUAGAAGGUCGUAUGACACAUUCGUUAAAUAAUAUAUUAACUUUUGCUUUAAAUAUGUUUUAGGUUUCAACCAUAUAUAGAUAUUUAUGCUUUAAAUAUCACAUAUUUAUGUUUAUAAUAGAUUAAUUUCCUUUUAAAAAAUUUUUGUUAUUUUUUUAAUUCUUAAGUAUAUAAAAUCUUUUAGUUUCUUUUAGAAGUAAUGAUUUUUUAAUAAGAUAGAUCCUAACAUUUUAUAUUUAUUUCAAUUUUAUCUUUAAAAUAUAUUUUUUUUUUUUUUACUUUUUUAUAAAACAUGAUAUAUCAUUUCUUUAAUAUAAGAUAACAAAAAUUAAUUUUAAUUUUUACUCUAUAAGAUAUUGACUAUAAUAGAAAAUAUAUUUUUUUUUACAUAGAUACUUUUAUAUCAUAUCAUUUAUUUAAAUGUUAUAUUAUUAUAAUAUUUAAUUUACUAUUUCAAAAUUAUACGUCAAUAGUCAUUUUGAUGAUUACACAUUUAAAAAUCAAUUUCUAUCGCAAGAUCUAAACAACAUAAUGUGUCAAUUAUCUUUUUAUAUUUAUUAUCCAAACAAAAAUCACAUUUAGUUAAAAUCGAUUUUAUAUAAUCACUCUCAUUCAAAAUUAUUUUUACAAAUGCAUAACCAAAAAUCUCAAAAACAAUCCAUAUAAUUGUAUGAAAAAUUACAUGAGAAAUGACAGUGAACCAGAAGUAAUACUAAUGAAUCGUAUCCCAAGAAUCAUAUUAAUGAAUCAUGCCAAAACUUAUAAUAAGAAAAAUCAAUAUAAUGCUAUAUACUUACAACAUGCUCUUUAUAAUCCUUUUGUUAUUGAGAAAUGAUUUUGUAUUACCCUUGUUUCAAAUCCUUUUCUUGAUCCUCAGAUUAUGUUAUGCACUACCCUUGCUUUUCAUUUUCUGUGUUCACUAUCCUCUUUAUUGACACCAUUUACUGCAGAAGUUCUAUUUUCUUCUCGAUCUUCAUUUUUGGCAACUUCUUCUGUACUAGUUUUCUCUUCGGCACUCACUUCUAGAGACCCUAGCUUAACUUCAAGGUCCUUGACAAUCCUUUUAAAAGAUCUCACAUCCUUAGCCUCUGCUAAUUUGCUUCUUGAUGAUGUCUACAAUGUGAAAUCUAAAAGUCUGAAUAUUGAUAAUACCAAGAAAAAUUUACUUACCUCUUCCCAAAUAGUAUGGGAAGAUAAAUGGCAAAUAAAAAUCAAAGUUUACAAUUUCUUAAUCCAUUAAGGGGUGAUCUAAGGCCAUAAAAUUGACUUAAUUUUAGGUCAAAAACCAAAUUCAUUCCCUCAAAACACUUUUAAUGGCACCUCUCUACUUAAAAAAGAUUUUCUGACUAUAGAGCAAAAUAUAGAAAGGAAAUGCAACAGAAAUUGGGAACACGAGUUAGAUGUUGAAAACAAGGAAUUAUUCUGCAGCAUAAUUCUGACAAGAAUGUUCACAGACAGGUAAAACGUAAUAUAAUACUCAUAUAAUAAAGCAUAUAGCCACAACUAAAAUAUUUAAUGUAAGAGUUACCCUCAUGUUUGAAAACAAAUAUUGACAACAUUAUCAAAUGAUUGCUAUAACUACACCUUCUAUCCUUUGUUUAGAGGGUCUACACUUUCUAUCCAAUUUAUAUACUUCAGAACACAUACCUACCAACUAACGAACUGUGGUGCAUUAUUGCUCAUGAGUAUCUUUAAAAGUGAAGUAGGUCUAAAUUUCAAUUAUGCUUGACAUUAUCAGACAACAGACAUAUGAAAUGAAACAACUUUGAAGGCCACAGGAGCCAACCAUGCUUCGACAAUGGUAAAUUGGGGGAGCAAAUGACCAUAAAGAAUUUAAAUUUAACAGCUAGAAUUCUACACUCAAAAGCUACUUGCAUUACUUUAACCUACUUUCCACCUCCUCACAUUAGGCUAGACACCUCUUUGAAACUGAAUAAAUAAUAGGAUAUUUGGAAACUCGUUUAAAAGUAUAAAAUGAAAACAAAGCCUUGAAAACUAUUUAAUGAUGUUUGCAACUAAUUAAACAAAAAGGUGCAACUAAUUAAACAAAAAGGAGCGCAAGUGGGAAAAAGAUUGGUGGCCAUACUUCAGAAAACAACUCAGUUCAAUCAACCACCCAUUCACUCAUAAAUGAAUAAAUUUUCUUGUAGUAUUCCCUCAGUAGUUAUAUUGAAACCAUUUCAAGUAUUUAUAAUGUUUUGAAGCACAAAAUUUACUGGUUAAAAAAUUUUAAAUAAAAAAUUAUCAGUACUGGAUUUGAGUCCCGUAAUUUGUUUGCUAACCAAAAGCAAAAAGCAUUUGUGUUGUUGACUAACCUGUACAAUUUGCUCCACACGUCUUUGAAGAUCUUCGCUUGACGCUGGCUGGUGGAUGCCUUUAAGCAUUAGGAAUAAGUGAGACUCAAUAUCAUCUGAACAAUGUUUUCUAAUCAUACUUUGUGCAGUUGUAGAUCUACAGCCUAUGGCAGAGAAAGGGCAAUUCACAAGCUUUAGUGGACAAACGGUUAGGCAGUGUCUAUCCAUCUCACGUCUCAAGAUGUUAGCUGUGCACUUCUGUUCACAUGGAACUAUCUUGAAAUCACAAGUUGAAUCAUGCUCUUUCAAUUGACCAGCACUGAAUCUGACAUUGCACCCCUCAUUUUGGCAUAUCACGGUCCUGAAGUCGCAUGCAUCAACAUGGUUGGCAAGAUCUUCGGCAGAGUUAAAACUCAUACUGCAAUGAAAUGAGCUCUUGAAGUCAACAUUCUUGAGCAAAUCUUUUGCAAGUGUUUCUCUUCUAUCCAGUGGCCAAAAACCAUUUACUUCCAUCUCCUGAAUAAAAUCAUCUAUUUUGUCCUCUCUCUUGUCACUUAGCAACCACCCUGAAAACUGGCUCCACAAAUUCCUCUUUGAAUUAACAAACUCGUCAACAAAAUAAGAAAUAAUAUCAAAAGGGUGUUCCAAAGCUUCACCAUCAGGACCACCCUCAGAGAUAAUAGACUCAGCAACAAAUAAUUCACUCUUUUGGGUGACAAAUUCUAUCAUCUCCUUUCUCAAAUCAACAGCCACAAAACCAGGGGUAUUGAAGGGAUCUCCUGUUGUGUUAUCAACACAGGCACAGGCUAGUCCUGGCAUGAACAUUUGAGCCAGAUUGUGAACUACUUCUAUGUCACAAAAAUCACAAUGUAACAAGGGACCUUCCUCUUUCUCAUGUUCAAUCUUCUUAGGCCCAAGAUCCACAUUAGCUGUAGGCAAUUCCAUUCUUGAUAAAACCUAAAAGAGUCAAAAACAAAAACAUCACCAUACACUCUUUCAUCUCAACCUUGUAAAACCAAAACCACAAAUAAAAAUACUCCUCCAAUUUAUAAAUUUCUGUUUUACUUAUACCCUCAUAACUUAGUAUGUUCUAGCUCUCCUAUAAUAAAGGAAAAUUUUCAUCAUCUACUGCACAACAUUGCUAGCUCUCCCGUCAUUGCAUUUCAUUAUUCCAUACAUUAUCAUCAUCAUCAUCAUUUAUUGAGAAUACAAAUUGGAUUAAUUUCAACACAUAGUAAAUACCAACAAAUCAAAAUUUCAAAAUCUGCCUUUUCCACCUAUUCUGAUUAAUUGUCAAGAAACCCAACACCUAAAUUCCUAAAAUCUAGUGGAACUCCAUCCUAUUAAGCUAUUCCACUAGAAAAACAUACAAUGGUCAAGAUUUGAAACCUUGUUUUGGCUUAUGAAGUGUGUGAUUAAUGACAAAGAUAAGAAAAGAAGGAAAAAAAUAACAUAAAAAUAUAUUAUAUUUUUUUGCUUCUGAGAUCCAAAAGGCCAUAGAUUUCAAAUGUAAUUGAAGCACAUAUUGAUUGAUUGAGGUCAAUGGCACAGUGAAUUUUAGGAGACAAAUAGAAAAGUUGAUACUUUCAUAUCCUGUUUUAUUUUAUAUCCAAACUGUUCUAUAUGCUCAAUCUUACUGUUAAGAACAACGAUUUUAAACCACGCCAUUUAGUCCCUACUUCUACAUGUUCGUAAAACUUUUUCUUUAGUAAAUGCUUCCAUACAUUUUUAUUUUUCAUUUGAUCUCUCUAAGGCUACCUUUUGCCCAUUUGUUUAAAAAAAAAACUAUUUCAAAGUUUUCUCUUUACAAAACUAAUUUAAAGUUAAAAAUCAAAAUAUGUUUAAAGGCAAAGUACAAGCUUUUUUAGCAAUUUUAAUUUCCUUCAAUGGGGAUUCGAGAGAGAAGAGAAACAAAUUUUUAACCAAAAAAACAUCUUUCGCUUAAUUUUUUUUAAGCUACUUUUUUUCCUUUUCUUCUAAAAAAAACUAAGUUAUUUCAUCUUUUAAACAAAAAGAAAAAAGCUAGAUGAAAUACUACAUGAUAUUUCUUUUAAUCGUUGUCAUGAACAUCACAUCUGGUCGUCCUAAGAAUUAUGAGAUUCUUUUUUAAAGAGCAUGUCUUGGUGACCUGUUUCAAGCUUCUGAGAAGGCAUAUUUCUGCUAUCAACAACACACACAAUGCAAAUAGUUAGUUUCAAACAACAAUUUGCAGGUGAAACUAAUCAACUAAACUAAACCCUCUGUUAACUAGUCACUUCCAAUGUAGAAAAGGCAAAACAAAUCUUAAAUAAAAGACCAUGAAGGAAUAACAAAAGCAUAAGCACAAGAUUUAAUACAAAAUACACAAAUAUAUAACAUUUUCCAAGCAAGCAACUCCUCAAACUGCAAACAACAAUUCACUAUACAUAAUAACAAAUCCAUCAAGAAAAACAUAAUACUGAAAAGCAACCAUAUUCACAAGCUGAUGAAGAGUGAAAGUCCAGCCAAAGGUUUUAAAUUUCACACAAAUAUACAUGGAGUUUAGCAUUGAAGAAAGCCAAAAUACAAUUCCGUGUAAAUCAUUAUCUAUAAAUGAUCAUAAAAUCCCAAACAACUCGCAAAAUUAAAAACAUCAAACCCUGUAAAAAAAUGCAAAAAUUGGGAGAAAAUGGUUCAUCUUUGAAAAUAAACCGCUCCAAGCUAAAGAAAUGGGGAAAAUCACUUAAAGGGAGGGGAGGAAAUUGCCCCAAACAAAAGAGAGAGGUUUCUAAUGAAUAGGAAGAAUCCCAAAAUGGGUACGAGAUCAGAAGAUCGAAGUUUAAAUUUGAAUAGAUUGGGAGAGAAAGAGAGAGGAUAGAGAAGGGACCUGAGACAAAGACAGAGAAAUCAAAAGAACCAAAGGUGGCUGCCGGAGCUGCCGUGGACGGUGGCCCAAGUAAGCGCUGUCCGGUGAUGAGAUCUAAGGAAGAAACUGAGAAAAUGGAACACAGUUUCUUAUAACCAAUGGAAAUAUAUUACUUAUUAUUAUUAUUAUUAUUAUUAGAAUAUUAUUUAUUUUUUCUAGUUUAUUAUUUUAUGAAUAAUUAAUUAAGAAUAGAAAAUAAUACAAUUUAAAAAAUAUAUAAUUGUAUAAAAAAUAGUAUUAAUAAAUUUAUGUAAUUAGUAUCCAUUUAUGCUUCAAGUAAAGAAGAAAUUUGAAGUUAAUUAAUAUUAUUCAUUGCAUAUUGUUUGUGCAAAAGACUCGUAAUCAUUUAUUUAAUUAGUAGAUUUCUUUAUAAUUUGUGAAGGAGAAUCAUAUGUAAUGAGUGUUAGCAUGAAAUAGUAUAAAUAUUAAAUUGUUUAUCUAUUUUAUCUCUUACUCUACAAUUGUUGACAAUUUGUUUAUGAAAAUAUUUUUAAAACCCUUUUCGACUAUUAAAUUAUCAUCCUAAAUCAUUUGUUUUUUUUUUAUCAUUCUUUAUUGUUUUAUGAAAUAUUUAUAAAAAAAAACAAACUCUACUCAUCACUUAUAAAUUUAAGCUUUAUUCACCCCUUUUAUAAUUUUUUUUUUCACUUUUAGCUUAAAAGUAUUACUUACUACUAGCAUUUAUAAAGUAUUAUUUAAACCACUCUAACAAUUAAAAAUAGAGUAUUUUAAAAUUAAAAACAAAAAAUGUAAAUAUAAUUUAUUGUAUAAUACAGAUAUAUCCUAUUUUAAUAUCAAAAUUUUUAGGAAAGUUGACAUGCAUGUAAAUAGAAGCUUAUAUGACACAUUGGUUAAUUAAUAACUAAUUUUUGAAUUUUUAAUGUAAAACAAAUAUAUCAGAUAUAUACUUUUAUAAUCCUGUAAUUUUUGCUUUGGAUGUUUUUUUAUGUUUCUAAUAUUCUUUUUUUCUGAUCCUAGUAAAAUUAUUCAUUUGAAAAUAGUUUAUGUAAUUUUUAACUUUUUUUGUUAUUGUUGUUUUAAUUCUUAAUGGAUAUCACUUUUUUAGUUUAUAUUACAACUAAUAUUUUUUUAAUAAAGAUAGCAUCUAACUUUUAUAUUUGUUUUCUUUAUUUUAUCCUUAAAAUAUUUAUUAAUUUUGGUUUAACUUUAUAUAAGACAUAAUAUAUUAUUUUUUAUAUAAGAUAAAAAAAUUAUUUUAAUUUUUUUACUUUAUAAGAUAUUGACAAAGAUUUAAAAUAAAGUUAUUAUUGUUAUUGUUAUUAUUAUUAUUACCAUUGUUAAUACAUAGAAAUUCUUAUACUACAUAAUUUAUUUUAUUGAUAAUAUUUAGUUUACUCUUUCACAUUAUACUUCAAUACAUUAAUAUUGUUAUAUGGUAGAAUUGUUUUAUUUUUAGUAUUUUUAAAUACUUUUAUUAUUAGAUUAUACCUUUUAUUUUAUUUUAAUUUUGAACAAAAAAUAUUUUAAGAUAUAAUAUAAUAUUAAUAAUAAAUACAUAAUGUAAAAAUAUAUAAAAAUUAAUAUAACAAUUAAAUAAUAUAUAUAUAUAUAUAUAAAAGAUUAUAAAAACUUAAAUUUAGUUUUUAAAAAUAGAAAUAGCUUGAAAAUAUGUUUUAUAAAUACAACAUAAAAUAGUACAUACAAACAUGUCUAAUUUUAUUAUUUACACAUUUAUUAUAUAUAAGUAUAUUCUACUUUUGAUUUCAAUUUAAACAUUUAUCUUUUAUAAUUCAAACAUGAAUAAUAUAUUUUGAUUGAACAAAAAAUUCACUUCUGAUCAUUAAAAAUCAUCAUGUUAGUACAUGUCUUACAAAUAUUGAUCUAUGAAGCCAUUGCAUAACUUAUUUUUUUUUCUUGGAAAAAUGGUGAAGCAUAUUAAUAUAAAUUUGAAUAUUAAUAUGCAGGUCAUAAACUUAACCAUAGGGAUUUCUGAAUGCCUUCAAUAGGUUAGGAAUAUCAUAGGCAAGCAUAUCAUCCACUGUUUGUAUCAUUUUUUUAUUCAAUUUCUCAAACCUAUCAAUGUUGUAACCACUCAAAGUCUCUUUGAAUUGUUCAACAUUUGGAAAAUCACCAGCUGGUAGAUGAAACUCCCUUUGUACCUGAUUACAAACAUUAAUUAACAUUUUAAUUUUCAAAUAUUAUCAUAAAUAUAGAUGCAUUCACUACUACAAAGAAAAAAAUAAUUUUAAUAGAUGUUUAUUUUUAUAUUAUUUAGGGUUAAAACUUUUAUCAAGUCGUUUAUCCAGAAUUGCAGUUUUUCCCGCUAAAUCAUCUAUCAGGAACAUAUUUUUUGGAAAUUUUUUAAAUCUCAGGAAAAACCUUUCAGAAACCGUGUUAAAUACCAUGAGUUUAAAAACCUCAGUAAAAUAUUAUAGAUUUCAAAACCUUCAUAAAAUACCAUGAGUUUAAAAACUUCCGUAAAUUUUUUAGGGUUAUAUCAACUUUCGCUUAAUAACCUUUGUUAAAAUAUAUUUUUUCUCAUAGUGAUUUGAAUUUAAUUUAUAUAUAUAUAUAUAUAUAUAUAUAUAUAUAUAUAUAUAUAUUCAUACCUUUCCAAAUUCAACAUCCAAAUUAUCAAUGAGCUUUUGUUGAGCUUUAGCUUUUCCUAUCAUGCUGGGCAUUUGCUUCUUCAGAUGGCUAAUAAUGUAUGCAUGUAUCACAACAGCCCUGGCUCUUUUUACAAAUUCAUUGAUCUGCAAUAUACACCAAUUUUAUCUUAAUUUAAUCAUCUUCAUCAAUAAAUAAAACACAAUUAAUGAUUAAAUUGAUACUAGAAUUCAAGAAAACAUUGUAGGGAACUUUUGUAUCCACAAAAUAAUGUUGAAAGUAGAGAGAAGCUUGGUUUUGUUCCACAAAUGUUUUCCUUUUCAUAUGUUUCAUUAUAAAAUUUAUAUAGAAGUUUUUCUUAUUUUUAGUUUGUAAAUAAUUUUUUUAUUUUAUUUUUGUCAAACCAGUUCUUAAUUUUAAAUGUUAAACUUCAAAAUAAUUUGGAAGUGUUUUGUUAACCAUUUUAAUAAGAUAGUAGAUAAUAAAAUGUACAAAUGAUACUCACUUUCCGAUCACAAGCCUUCUUUGGUAUAUCUUUCAAAUCUGAGAGAAGGUCAUCUUGUUCUUUUUGAAACAAUUCAUCACCAAGUUGACCACUAAUAGAAUCAUGCAUAAAUUUAUCGUUGAAUGAACUGCCAAAAUAGUUUAAACACGUUAAAGAAAUAAGAAUAAGAUAAUUUUAUAUAAUAAUCAAUGAGAAGAAAGUGUAGCAAAAUCUAAAUUACACAAGAAUGUGUACAAUGUAAAAAGUAAAAUCAAAAGAAAAAACUCUUCCGUGUGAAAAAUUCCAAAAACUAAAAAUAUGUAAAAAAAAUAAGAACUAAUUCUUAAUGUAAAGAAAAGUUUUUUUAAAAGGUCGAUGCAUACCCAAUAUAUACACGCAUGACUUCAGGAACAUUCAAUACUUUUCCAAGUGACCACAUCAAUGCACCAUAUAUUCUCAUUAGCUGCAAAAUUCAAUCAUACAAAAUAUAGGUCAAAUUUUUCUUCAAUGAAAUUAUGUCAGAUUUAGUAAAAUUAAAAUAUUAGUAAUAUAUGUCUUUACUUGUUGAGGAUCAACUUGGUCUGCUUUGUUUAAGACCACUCUAAUUUUGUCAUCAUGUCCUCGUAGAGAUGAUAUCACACGCUUAAACUCAUCGCUAACAUCAAGUUUGUGAGGAUCAAACAAAAGGAGUAUUAAAUCACAUUUUGCGGCAAACCAUGAUGUUACACCUGUAAAGUCAUAUUGUCUAUGUGUCCUUUGUUUUUCUCCGGAUAACACUCCAGGACUAUCAACAAAUGUAAUGUGCUCCAAUAACUUUGAACAAUAUAUGAAAAAUGAGAGAGUUAAGUUUCAAAUGCUACAAAAUAAAUCUCUUGAUUUUGUUUUAAUUAAGUAUAAAAGACUCUUACAGGAUGAGGCAUUUGAGAACACUCAAAUUUGGACAAAAAUGAUGUGCCAAAUGUAGUAAGACCACUAAAUGGCAUGUCUGCUUGGACAGCAACAGUGUUUCCAGGAAUGCUUCUUUCAUCGGGUCCAGACUAUUAAAAUAUGUUGAAUCAUUUAAAAAAUUAUAAAAAUGAAUAUAUAAGCGUAAAGACAUUCAAAAACUAUAUAAAUAAUAAUGCAGAUGAAACACUUUGACACAUACCAUAACAACAACAAACCUAUCAGUUGUUGGCUCUGGUCCAAUGUGAGAUCCUAAUAAUAUUAGUAAAAAAAAAAAACAAAAUCAAUAUAUAAAUUACAUAAUUAGUGUGAGCAAUUUCAAAUAUAUAUUACACAUAGAAUUUGAGGUUGAGGUUGAGAAUCACUUGCCUGGAUAACUAGAUCUAAGCAUAUGUUUAAUGAAUGUUGUUUUUCCAGUUGAAUAUUGACCCAAUAGUAGAAUCAUAGGUUUGGCAUCAAAGUCACUAUUUGUCUGUAAUGCAUAAAGAAUAAUAAUCAUAGAAAACUUGUCUGUAAUGCAUAAAGAAUAAUAAUCAUAGAAAACUUAAGUUGUAUCCUGCUGUACAAGAAAAUCAUGAAAUAGAAACUAAUUUUUAGACACCAAAAUAAUUAGUUGUAAUAGUAACUAAAUUAGAGACCAUUUUAGAAACUAAAUAAAAAAUUGGUUUCUAAAUUAGUUUCUAUUAUUGUUAAAUAGUUUCUAAAAAUUGGUAUCUAAUUAGCUACCAAGGUUAAAUUUGGUCUCUAAAACCUUGGUUGCUAAUUAGAUACAAAUUUUUAAAAAUUAUUUAACAACAAUAAUUAGAAAUCAAUUUUUUAUUUAGUUUUUAAAACGGUCUCUAAUUUAGUUUUUAUUGUAAAUUAUUUUGAUCUCUAAAAAUUGAUUUUUAUUUCAUGAUUUCCUUGUAGUGUUGUCCACGUAUACAUAAUUCAGUAAACAAAUGAAGUUGAAUUAGACUAUUUAUUUGUAUUCUUAAUCAAACAAAGCAAAAAAUAGAAUCAAGUACUAACCAAUAAAGGAGAUACAAAAUCAUUAUAACGAUAAGCAACUUCUAAAGGCUUCAACUUUUGAAGAUAAAGCCUCUUCAAACCAUCUACUAUUGAUGUCACUGAAGAAGAAGGCACCUAUAAACAUAUUCUCAAAAAGUUAGAAGAAGAUGAAGGAUAAAGAAAAACCCUAAACCAUAAUAAGGUUAGAAGAAAAUUCAGAAUAAUAGAUAAAGAAAAAACAUAAUUUUUAGUCCAAACUAAGACAUUUAUCAUGUCAUAUUGUUACAUGAAAUAUAUUUUGUUUAUUUUUUUUUUAAAUAUUUGUUUAAGGAAAAAAAAUAUUUGCACUUUAUAGAGUUGCAUGUAAAAAAUUCUUACCUUUUUUACCGACUUUGCUAAAAACCAAUUACUUGCAGGUGAUGGUUGAGGACUAACUGCAUUAUUACCAGUAAGUGAAUUUGAUAAAAGAAAAAAUAAAUAAAUAAAAAAGGACAAAAGCAAUAUGAAUAACAUCCUUUAUAUUAAUUGAAUUAGCAUACAUUACCACUCAAAUCUUUAUCUUUAUUUUUGCGUCUUUUCUUCUACACAAACAAAUCCAUGUAAUAAUAAGUUAUUUCACUAAAUGAAUAUACAAUAUGAGCAUAAAAAAAAAUUAAAAAUUAAAAAUAAUUAAUCACUAUAUUGAUUAAAUUAGGUAUUAUUUUAGAAUUCAAAAUAUUAUUAGUGUCUGAAAUAGUUUAUAUUAUUAAUAUAAAUUUAUAAAAUAGUUUCUACAUUAGUAUCUAAAGUAGCUACUAAUAUUUUAUUUAGAUUAUAAAAUAGUCUGAAAGAUUAAUAGAGACUAAUUUAGAAUAUAUAGUAGUAAGUAACUAAAAUCUUGGUAGCUAAAAGUUAGAUACUAAUUUAUAAAUUAUUUUAUAAAUUUUUAUUAAUAAUAGAAACUAAUUUAGAUACUAAUAUAUUUUUUUUAAUUUAUAAAAUGAUCUUUAAUUAGUCAAAUAAUAAUUAUUUUGAUCUCUAAAAUUAGUUUUUAUUUAAAAAAAAUUAGUGAAAUAGUUGUACUUACUGCAACUAAUGCAUCCAAACCAUCCAUUGUGGGUGGUUUUACAUGUCUCAUAACUGAAAUAAAAGUAAAUCAUAUGUUAGUGACUUCUAUAACAUAAAUUUAACAAGUGAUAAAAAAGAAAAUGUAAAAUUUUAAUUGAUAUUAAAAAAAAAAAUAACUAAGAAACCAAACAAUGAAAAAAAAAACAAAACCUACCAUCACUAGUUAGCAAAUCAUGUGUUAUUGAGUAUCCACAUUGUCCUAAAGAGACAAGCUAUAGUUAAAAAUGAGUUAGUUAGGGUUUAGAAAUAUGUAAACCUUAAACUCAAAAAACAUAUUAAGGAUUUGGUUUUGUACCUGCAUAGCAGUCACAAAUUCUUUGAAACCUAAAUAUCCUUCUCGUUUUGAAUCUGCAAUGGCCCAUAUCUCAUUUUGAUAAAAAGGGACCCAUAAAGAAAUAAAUUAGUUACAAGGAAGAAACAAAUAUAUCAAAAGAAGGAUUGUAAAAAAUAUCAAAUAAUGUAACUUAAAUAAACAAUUCAUCUUUUAUAUAUACAAUAUCACAUCUAAUGGGAAAAUUCUAUCAUAGUCCAUUUUUAUCCCAAGUUUCAAAAAGGAUAAAAUUUACAUACAUAACUUAUAACAUACUUUAAAUUAUAUUUAAAUUAUAUGAUAUUGUUUCUUCUUAUUUAAAGCAAGGCUAGCUGCAUAUUCCAAUCUAUUGGUCUGCCCUACAUAAUUUGUAGCCCGCAUGGGAUGGGACGGGUUGACCCGCAUGAUCUAGAUAACUUCAAAAUUUAAAAGGUUUUUUUUCUGCAAUCUCAUAUUUUCUUCAUGCAACCUCAUAUUUCACAUUCUAAAAUCUUUACUCAUCUAAUUACGCAUGUGUCACGAGAAUAAUAUUGUAAGACCAUUUAUCUAAUUCAUCUAAAUAAAAAAUUAAAAAAAAAUAUUUAAAAAAUUGUUUUUUAGUCAUUUUUUUUUUUAAAAUAUUUCUUAUGUGGAUUGACACUUAGAUUAAUGAUCAACCCUUAUAUGAGACGUGUUAGUAAAAUCAACCUACAUAUUCUAUGCGGGGUGUGACAACCUAACCUAUAUUUUGUAGGUCAAAUACAAGACGAAUCAAUUUAAAUUGGCUUCCUACUAAAUAUGUUGUGCCUUCUUAAUCCAUAAAUACAUUUUUUAUAUUAAUUUCUACUCCUUGUUCAUAUGCAUAGAACAAAUUUAUAAAGCAGAAAACCUGUUUCAGUUCUUGUCGUGACAAGUUUGACAUAGUAAAAAACUUGAUGGCUUCAUGUCCCGUAAAACGACCAUCCCCAUCUGAACACACCAAAAUGCAUAAUAAUCCAAUCAUUUACAGAAGAACAAAUCUAUUUUGCAUAAAGUAAUAACAUAAAUGACAAAGAGGUUAAAGGAAAGAAUUUUAAACUAAUUCAACAUUUUAUUAUUUUGCAAAUUUAUAAUGAAACAAAACCCUAAAAGAAUGUAUGAAUAAAAACAUGAAAAAACAAGUAACACCAUGUGAAUUUCAAUCAUCAUAGAAUGCGAUGAAAAAUGGAAAAUUUUGUUCAAAUAACAACCUGAAUCUGCAUAAUUGAACCACUCCUCAUAUAGGGUUUGAUUAUCUUUGAAACUUGAAUCGACUGGUACUAUAGCAAGUUCCAUGAUAAGAACAAUUUAGAAAAUUGAUUUCUAUUUUCCUUUUACGAUUUUGAGUAAGAUAUAAAGAGGGGUUCCAUAUGCUUGCAGAGGGAUGGUUAUUCCAUUGACGUUGUUGCAAACCAUACAUGACACAAAUUUGGAGCUUUUAUAUUGUGAAUAUUGAUGUUAAGUGCUAAAGAACUGGUUGAAUCUAGAAUUGGAAUUUCCAUUAAUAACUACACCUGAACACGUUAAAAGAGGAAAUCAUGUUGAAAGUUUUCUUAAAAUUAGUAUAAGAAUGGGUUGAUAAAAUUAUUACACGACUUAUUAUUAUUUAAUGUGAAUUGAUUUAAUUUGGAAUCCAAAAAUAGUUAUAAAGUAUUGAUAUGGUUAAAAAUCUAAAAUUAUACUCUCUACUUCAUUAUCCUUUAAAUUAUAUAAUUUUCCUUUUUUUAUUAUUUUUUUUGCAUGUAAUGGUUAACAAUGUUACUGUAAUUUAUUUAUUUUUUUAACUAUUAUUGAGAUUUAUAAUAUCAAGAAACGAUAUACCCACGUUAAAUAGAAGUUAGAGUGAUAUAAGCAUUUUCAUAAUAUGUUUGACUUUAGAGUGACAAAACUUAUUACUAUGCAUAAUUAAAAACUCAUUAGCAUUUUCAUUUUCAUAAUUGUUGCAAGCAAUGGACAAAAAUCCAAAUAUCAUAUAAAUAAAAACUUGUUAUAUAACUACUUGGAGAGAAAAAUAAAUUAUAGGGUUUUAGAAAUUGAAAAUAAAAGACAUGCAAUAACUAAAAGACUUUAAUAAAAAUAAUGAUAAAGAUAUAGAUGAGAUAGUUCAAACAAAGAGAAUUUAGAGAAUGGUUUCACUUUUUCAUGAAAUUCAUUCAUUAUCAAUCCAACAAUUUUAUUAUGCAGUUAAUUCAACGAUCUAUGAAUUUGAAAGCUCUCUAAAUUUCACUUUGCAAGAAUUGUUCUUCUCACCUUAAAAAAAUAAAACAAUAAAAAACAUAAAAAUAUAAUAAAAAUAAUUAAAAUUAGGAUAAGUAAGUUUUUUUUAAUCCCAAUCUUAUAAUGAGUUUUUCAAUUUGGUCAUAUUAUUUUGAAAAUUUUCAAGAACAAUGUAUGACACAUCAUUAAUCAAAAGUUCACUUAUUGAGGAAAUCAAAAUUGACUUAUUGAGGAAAGUAAGACAUAAUAUCAAUACCAAAUAACAUUUGACUUAUAAUACUAUUGUGACUAUAAAAUUGACAAAAAAUUCUGUUAACUUAUUAUUUUUAAAAGAAUUAUGAUUAAAUUGAGAAUAUUAAAAAAAGUGAGACAAAAUUGAAAAAAAUGCUCACAAUAUUAAGAUAAAAAGCUUAUCUAAUCUUAAAAUUAAAAUUAAAGAAACAAAUAAAUAAAAACGUAUAAAAAUUGUAAGUAUUCAAAUAUUAUAAAAAAUAAUAUUAAAAUAUUGGUUUUUAGCCUUUAUCAAGGACGAUAUUUUUAAGUGGCUAUGAUGCUCUAUUCUCAUUACUAAAAUUGAACACACAACUCAAAACAACUAUUAGUAGUUUUAUUUAAUUAAUUUAAAUUUAUAGUUUUAUUAGAAUUUGACAGAAGUUAAAUGUAAAAAACAUCAUUUGUGUAAUUAUGAAAAAAAGAAUUUAUAAAUUAAAAUCAGAAACAAAUAAAACAUCUUAAUCUUCUGUUAAAAAAUAUUUGAUUGUAUAUUUGUUAGGAGCUUUUAUGUUUAUUCAUAUUUUUAUUAUAUCUAUAUAUAUAUAUAUAUAUAGUUGUAUAAAAAUAAUAUUAAAAUAAUUAUGUAACCUUAUUUAAAAAAUAUUUAAUUAUUUUAAAAUAAAAAAAUAUUUAGUUAUUUAUUUAAUUAAAUAAAUACAUUAUUUUUUACUUAUUAAAAAAUCACAUGAAAGUUAUAAAUUAUGUAUUUUUUUGUAUGUAAAUAUUUUAUUAAUGAUAUAGAUAUGUAAUAAGGAAUUCAGUUCUCCAUUCUCAAUUUCCUCGUAAGAUCUAAUCUUACACUCACCGGACCACUCUAUCGCGCCACCGUCCACGGUAGCUCCGGCAAUCACCUUUGGCUUCCUCACUUUCUCUGUCUUUUUCUCAGGUCCCUGUUUUAUCCUCUCUCUUUCUCUCUCGAUCUAUUGAAAUUUCAACUUCAAUCUUAUGAUUCCGUACCAUUUUGCGAUUCUUCAUAUUUAUUGGAUUCAUCUCUCUUUUUUUGUGACAAUUUCCUCAUUUCACCCCAUUUGCGGUUUAUUUUCAAAGAUAAAUCAUUUCCCCCCAAUUUUCGUUCUUUUUACAGGGUUUGAUGUUUUUAAUUUUGCCAAUUGCUUGUGAUUCUAUGAUAAUUUUUAGAUAAUGAUUUACUCAUAAUUGCGUUUCACUUUCUUCAAUGCGAAAUUCAAUGAAUAUUUGUGUGAUAUUUAGAACCUUUGGCUGGGCUUUUCACUUUUCAUCAGCUUGUGAAUAGGGUUUAUCUUAUGGGUAUUAUGUUUUUGUUGAUGGAUUAUUACUAUGUAUAAUGAACUGUUGAAGUUUGAGUAGUUUCUUGAUAUUUUCUUUGCCUUUUCUGCAUUGCAAGGGACUAGUUGACAGAGGGUUUAGUUUAGUUUAGAGUAUUAGUUUCACUUGCAAAUUGUUGUUUGAAACUAACUGUUUGCAUUGUGUAUGUGUGUGUGUGUUGAUAGCAGAAAUAUGCCUUCUCAGAAGGUUGAAACGGGUCACCAAGACACGGUCCAUGAUGUUGCCAUGGAUUACUAUGGUAAGAGACUGGCAACAGCUUCAUCAGAUCACACAAUUAAGAUAAUUGGAGUGAACAACACGGCCUCUCAGCAUCUAGCAACAUUGACUGGUCACCAAGGACCUGUUUGGCAAGUAGCAUGGGCUCACCCGAAGUUCGGUUCUCUGCUUGCAUCGUGUUCCUUUGAUGGCCGUGUUAUUAUUUGGAAGGAGGGUAACCAAAAUGAAUGGACUCAAGCUCAUGUGUUUGAUGAGCACAAAUCAUCUGUG